Molecule: transfer RNA, 86 nt
Filed under: Nanobdellota archaeon
Lineage: Archaea; Nanobdellati; Nanobdellota
Also listed under: 1 other name
Description: tRNA-Ile
Rfam family: tRNA
About the family: Transfer RNA (tRNA) molecules are approximately 80 nucleotides in length.
Source: RNAcentral
GGCAGGGUCGCAUAGUUCGGCAUUGCGCUCGACUUAUGAUCGAGUGACCUUGACGGGUCUCAUGGGUUCAAAUCCCGUCCCUGCCG